This 363-nucleotide unclassified non-coding RNA is filed under the name Hevea brasiliensis (rubber tree). The record is from RNAcentral. Lineage: Eukaryota; Viridiplantae; Streptophyta; Magnoliopsida; Malpighiales; Euphorbiaceae.
UACCAAAUCAAAAUGUAACUAUGAGCAAGUAGCCAAGCAUGAAAAAUAACACGAAUGCAACCCCAGAAAAGGUGGCUAAUCAAGUACAGUUUUUUUUUUUUUUCCCUUGAGGCUAGUUACUAUUACUUUGUCAGAAUAUUAUAGGCCAUAGCAUCCCAUAUUGGAAAUCUAGGGAUGUAUAAUAUUGUUCUCGAUAUUCCACUUGAGGCUCCAGUGGGGAAGUUCACAUUUAUAAGCCCAAUAUGCCCAUCCAAAAGAGGCUCGCCCAUAAACUUCCUGUUGAGCUUUAGCAAACUUUUGGUAAUCUUCCGUUGAUUCUUCCUUUACAUUCCAUUCUGCAGUCCAUUCCCCGACAAAACUGAG